AGUUCUGAUGAACGCUAACCAGUAGACGGUAACCACACUGAUUGGCAGAGCUUGGACACCAAGUCUAACCUGCUCUGAGCUGAUGUGCACUGUUGGCUCCUGUUGUGCUGCACAGGCCUCCGGUAUUACAAAUGGAACUCAAGAGCAUAUUCCACUCAUCUCUGCUAGUGGAUUACCUCUGAACGUUGUCUGCACUGGGCUGAGGAUGCUCACUACUUAAGUUCAAGGUUCUUACUGAUGUCACUGGAAAAUUUGUCUCUGCUCUGAGAAAUCACAGGGAUUAGUCUUUGUGACUCGUGAGGUGACUACACUAACACCUGGUGUUGAUAAGAUGGCAUGAAAACAGCCAGCUCUGGAAGUCGGGCUGGAGCCAUGGCUCAGAAGUGAGUAGUGCUUGCUGCUCUUCCGGAGGACCCGAGCUGGGUUACCAGCACCCAUGUUCUGCAGAUCACAGUCUUUGCUAACUCCAGAUCCAGGGCUUCUAACCCCCUCUUCCGGCCUCCAUGUACCGUACCUUUACUCAUGUGCCUGACAUCCUCCCACACAUACUUAAUGAAAAAUAAGAAUUCAAUCUUUAAUAAUAAGAAGAAAAGAGUCCCGGAAGAGUGU
This 609-nucleotide long non-coding RNA is filed under the name Mus caroli (Ryukyu mouse). Its description in RNAcentral is "lncRNA (MGP_CAROLIEiJ_G0006800.1)". The record is from RNAcentral. Lineage: Eukaryota; Metazoa; Chordata; Mammalia; Rodentia; Muridae.